AGUGAACGCUGGCGGUAGGCCUAACACAUGCAAGUCGAACGGCAGCACAGUAAGAGCUUGCUCUUACGGGUGGCGAGUGGCGGACGGGUGAGGCAUACAUCGGAAUCUACUUUUUCGUGGGGGAUAACGUAGGGAAACUUACGCUAAUACCGCAUACGACCUACGGGUGAAAGCAGGGGAUCUUCGGACCUUGCGCGAUUGAAUGAGCCGAUGUCGGAUUAGCUAGUUGGCGGGGUAAAGGCCCACCAAGGCGACGAUCCGUAGCUGGUCUGAGAGGAUGAUCGGCCACACUGGAACUGAGACACGGUCCAGACUCCUACGGGAGGCAGCAGUGGGGAAUAUUGGACAAUGGGCGCAAGCCUGAUCCAGCCAUACCGCGUGGGUGAAGAAGGCCUUCGGGUUGUAAAGCCCUUUUGUUGGGGAAGAAAAGCAGCAGGUUAAUACCCCGCUGUUCUGACGGUACCCAAAGAAUAAGCACCGGCUAACUUCGUG
This 492-nucleotide ribosomal RNA is filed under the name uncultured bacterium. Its description in RNAcentral is "partial 16S ribosomal RNA". It matches the Rfam family "Bacterial small subunit ribosomal RNA", at positions 29 to 507 of the family's 1533-position model. The record is from RNAcentral.